Molecule: long non-coding RNA, 255 nt
Filed under: Chrysolophus pictus (golden pheasant)
Lineage: Eukaryota; Metazoa; Chordata; Aves; Galliformes; Phasianidae
Description: lncRNA (ENSCPIG00010000090.1)
Source: RNAcentral
CUGAUGUAUGCUUCAUCAUGAACGUACCUACUUAUGAAGAGUGAGACCAUGAUGCGACCUGGAUUUGUUCAUAAGAGAUGCACAGAGCCUGGAAUGGGUGCGGUGGAGGAAGGAGGUGAGAGCCCCCAGGAACCGGCAGAACCAGUUUCCUGGGUGCCUGGGAAAUCCUGCCUUCAAAGGCAUGACUCGACUUCUUCUACUAAAAUAUCCAGCUCACAUGCAGAGAGAGUUGGUAUGUUCAAAGAAGGCUGCUGA